This 564-nucleotide long non-coding RNA is filed under the name Elaeis guineensis (African oil palm). Its description in RNAcentral is "long non-coding RNA (EGUI_LNC004569)". Lineage: Eukaryota; Viridiplantae; Streptophyta; Magnoliopsida; Arecales; Arecaceae. The record is from RNAcentral.
GCCCCCACAGCCAUGUUAGGAAUAGGAGGAGAACCUCGUCCUAACAUGAGCAAAGUUGAAGAUCCGGUUAUUAAGAGACCGGAUGGGGGGAGAGGCUCUCGUAACGGUCCUUAUGUGCCCCCACAGCCAUGUUAGGAAUAGGAGGAGAACUUCGUCUUAACAUGAGCAAAGUCAAAGAUCCAGUUAUUAAGAGACCGGAUGGAGGGAGAGACCCUUGCAACGGCCUUUAUGCGCCCCCGCAGCCAUAUUAGGAAUAGGAGGAGAACCUCGUCCUAACAUGAGCAAAGUCGAAGACUCGAUUAUUAAGGGACCAGAUGGGGGGAGAGGCUCUCGCAACGGUCCUUAUGUGCCCCCACAGCCCUGUUAGGAACAGGAGAAAAAUCUUGUCCUAACAUGAGCUGAAAUUGACUGUGUCGGAAACAGGAGGAGAAUCUCGUUCUGACACAAACGAAGACCUGAUCGUUUAAGAUCGGAUGAGGAGAAAAACCUCCUCAACGGCUCCUCUACACCCCUACAACCUCGUUAGGAGCAGAGAAAAAAUCCUCGUUCAAACAUAAAAAAAUG